UAAACUACAAAAACAAUACAAAUCACUUUUAAUUGCUUAUAAAAGCUUUUAUUUUGUAUUUAAUCAUCACUUUUUUGUUUUUGGGACUUAUUUCGUUUUUAAAAAUAAGAGCCGUUUAUAUUAUAAACCAAAAAACGCGGAAUAUCUAGGAGGUAAAGCCCUUGUGACGUAAGGAACAUACGCCCAAAGUGCUAGUAACUAUGUGCUUUGUACGUAGCUUGACGUAGUCAUGCUAACAUAUAGACGACACCUUAGGGGCAAAGACAUCCCCUUCGGGGAAAGAGCUAUAACGAAGCGCUCGUAGCUUAAGUAUAGUUGUAGUUUAACCUUCAUUCGCAAACCUACUUCGUCUUCGUCCCCUUUAGGGGAACCAAAGGGAACCCCCCCCCCUUCGGGGAAAGGGCUACGUCCAAAGCUAUAGCUGACUUGUGUGUUAGGGGGCUUUGCCCUGGUUGUGCCUAAUAACUACUGUUCUACAGACAACAUUAACAACAGCCAACGGCUUUUUUGUACAUCAAGCUACUAAGCGCUCUUCUUACUUGUAAAAACUAUAAAGAUUAUUCAUAAAAAUAGGACUACAGUUAUCUUUAUAUUUGUAUUUGAAAUAGUGUAAUAGCUCUUGAAGAGUUGGUAAAAUGGUAACACAAAACAUACCAUACGCAUAGUGAGUUUGUCUUANAAGACAUUCCCGAAAGAUAACGUUGCUUUACUACAACGGGCAAAGCUCGAUUACGUUUAGCUACUUGUUUAAUCAUCCGGCCUUAGGCCGGNN
Molecule: long non-coding RNA, 772 nt
Filed under: Volvox carteri
Lineage: Eukaryota; Viridiplantae; Chlorophyta; Chlorophyceae; Chlamydomonadales; Volvocaceae
Description: long non-coding RNA (VCAR_LNC004342)
Source: RNAcentral